UGGGGUGCUAGUCAUCUCAGUAAUGCAGCUAACGCAUUAAGUGUACCGCCUGGGGAGUACGGUCGCAAGAUUAAAACUCAAAGGAAUAGACGGGGACCCGCACAAGCGGUGGAGCAUGUGGUUUAAUUCGAAGAUACGCGAAGAACCUUACCUGGGCUUGAUAUCCUAAGAACCUUUUAGAGAUAAGAGGGUGCUAGCUUGCUAGAACUUAGAGACAGGUGCUGCACGGCUGUCGUCAGCUCGUGUCGUGAGAUGUUGGGUUAAGUCCCGCAACGAGCGCAACCCACGUAUUUAGUUGCUAACGGUUCGGCCGAGCACUCUAAAUAGACUGCCUUCGUAAGGAGGAGGAAGGUGUGGACGACGUCAAGUCAUCAUGGCCCUUAUGCCCAGGGCGACACACGUGCUACAAUGGCAUAUACAAUGAGACGCAAUACCGCGAGGUGGAGCAAAUCUAUAAAAUAUGUCCCAGUUCGGAUUGUUCUCUGCAACUCGAGAGCAUGAAGCCGGAAUCGCUAGUAAUCGUAGAUCAGCCAUGCUACGGUGAAUACGUUCCCGGGUCUUGUACUCACCGCCCGUCACACCAUGGGAGUUGAUUUCACUCGAAGCCGGAAUACUAAACUAGUUACCGUCCACAGUGGAAUCAGCGACUGGGGUGAAGUCGUAACAAGGUAACCGUAGGAGAACCUGCGGUUGGAUCACCUCCUUUCUA
This 709-nucleotide ribosomal RNA is filed under the name Campylobacter jejuni. RNAcentral's name for it is "bacterial SSU rRNA". It matches the Rfam family "Bacterial small subunit ribosomal RNA", at positions 824 to 1533 of the family's 1533-position model. Lineage: Bacteria; Pseudomonadati; Campylobacterota; Epsilonproteobacteria; Campylobacterales; Campylobacteraceae. The record is from RNAcentral.